Molecule: long non-coding RNA, 432 nt
Filed under: Anser brachyrhynchus (Pink-footed goose)
Lineage: Eukaryota; Metazoa; Chordata; Aves; Anseriformes; Anatidae
Description: lncRNA (ENSABRG00000005347.1)
Source: RNAcentral
UGAUGAUGGUAUAAGUUGUUUAAAUGUCAUAGUUCUACCUUCCAGGCUGGUACUGAUUGUGAAACCUCAGCUGAAAUUGCCAUUCUCUGUGUCCUUUUUCCAAAUGGAUACUGUCCCUAGAGCUCCCUGGCCAGCAGCACCAGAGCAGGAGUUAUUCCCGGUGCAACUGAAAACAAAAAGAACUUAAAGAAUGGCAUGCAGUUUAUAUCUGGUGCAGACUUCCUGGGAAGCGUAGUCUCCCCACAAGCCCCUCUCCAUGCUCUGAAAUUCAGAAUUCACCUAUUCCCAGAGCAGCAGCAUGUUCUAUUGCUCUAUUCCAGGAAUCUUUCACAAAGAGCCAAAAAUGACCACGUGCUGUGCAGAGCUGUAAGUUUUUUCCUUUCUGAUAUCAUGGUUCAAACCUUUUUUUUUUUUUUUUUCAUUUUCUCCCCC